This is a small nuclear RNA of Cavia porcellus (domestic guinea pig), 104 nucleotides long. The record is from Ensembl. NCBI's taxonomy places the organism in Eukaryota, Metazoa, Chordata, Mammalia, Rodentia, Caviidae.
GUGCUUGCUUCAGCAGCACAUAUACUAAAAUUGGAAUGAUACAGAGAUUAACAUGGCUCCUGUGCAAGGAUGACAUGCAAAUUUGUGAAGCAUUCCAUAUUUUU